Non-coding RNA from Phasianus colchicus (ring-necked pheasant), 1024 nucleotides. NCBI's taxonomy places the organism in Eukaryota, Metazoa, Chordata, Aves, Galliformes, Phasianidae. The record is from RefSeq and is a predicted model, not a curated record.
UACAGGUCGGUGGUAUUCACGUAUCGAAGGCGAUAACCUUUGCGGCGAUUUGGAAGCGUCUGACGUAGAGCCAGGCUCACUGCGCUAAUCCAAAACUUUCUUUCGCCUGAGAAAGUGGUGUUCUUGAGGACAGAGAGUUAACACGGCCUCAGUCGGGAGAAGCCCAGGUUCUUUGAAAAUGCCUUGGUCAAAAGUAGGAUAGGAAGGCGAUAUUUGGCCAUAACUGAAGGAUGGUGAGCCACCGUUUGCCGCUUGAGUAGUUAAGCAGGGUCUUAAUAAGAGAGUGAAAUAAGCUCAAAUGGAGGUGGUUUUGUUUGGGUAUAAAAUCGCUCUGUGCUGGUAGCAGCAGGAGCCUGUGAAAACGUGUUUUGUGCAUAGAAGGGAGAGGACUUGGCCAAUUCAAAGAUCACUUAGGAAGAAUCGCUGUGUUGUCUUGCGUUUGGGGAACGAGUUCAGUGGGGUUUAGCGAUCUGCUUGAGCUAUCGCCUUUCUCCGAAGCCAAUCCCGUUUUAACCAUGUACUCUUCCUCCAGUGCCUUGCGUUCCAUGAUAUUUCACUGCGAGCUCCUGCGCUUUUUCCUAGCCACUCGCGAGAAGGCUGUUGUCAGGUUAUCCGAAGCAGAAGAUUCUGGCGCACCCAUGAAUACCGUGGAAGCUUUCUGUACACUAAACAGUGCCUGUAAGAGCUUCAUAGGCGUUUGAAGAUUGUUGGCGAGAAGUGUGCUGCUAACCUGGGCCUGACCGAUGAAUUCCGGAUGGCUGUGAGAUACCCACCCUCAGGCCCUUCAGACUACCGCACGCGUCUUCUGGAUUCUGGGUGGCCGUCAGUUGGGCCAGCCUCCUGGCUAAGAUGUUUGCCCCGCAGGAGUUGCUGCACGUGUACGGAUCGCCACCAAAUGGAUUUCACAUGUCGCCCGUCAGUCUACCCACCGUUGACAUAUAAUUGUUUUUGGUGGGUGCCUGUGGAGAGUAAUGAAAAGCUUUGCGCAGCAUUUGCACAAUAAAGAUGGAGCAUGGGGAUAUCA